GACGAACGCUGGCGGCGUGCUUAACACAUGCAAGUCGAACGAAGAGCGAUGGAAGCUUGCUUCUAUCAAUCUUAGUGGCGAACGGGUGAGUAACGCGUAAUCAACCUGCCCUUCAGAGGGGGACAACAGUUGGAAACGACUGCUAAUACCGCAUACGAUCUAAUCUCGGCAUCGAGGAUAGAUGAAAGGUGGCCUCUACAUGUAAGCUAUCACUGAAGGAGGGGAUUGCGUCUGAUUAGCUAGUUGGAGGGGUAACGGCCCACCAAGGCGAUGAUCAGUAGCCGGUCUGAGAGGAUGAACGGCCACAUUGGGACUGAGACACGGCCCAGACUCCCACGGGAGGCAGCAGUGGGGAAUCUUCCGCAAUGGACGAAAGUCUGACGGAGCAACGCCGCGUGAGUGAUGACGGCCUUCGGGUUGUAAAGCUCUGUUAAUCGGGACGAAAGGCCUUCUUGCGAAUAGGGAGAAGGAUUGACGGUACCGGAAUAGAAAGCCACGGCUAACUACGUG
Molecule: ribosomal RNA, 510 nt
Filed under: uncultured bacterium
Lineage: Bacteria
Description: partial 16S ribosomal RNA
Rfam family: Bacterial small subunit ribosomal RNA
Source: RNAcentral